GUGACGCACGGUGGAGAGGAGAGGAGCGCUACCAGGAGGGACCGAUGGUGGCGCCGCGUGGGAGGCAUGGGUAUGAUGUCCAAACCACUGCACCACACCCUCUUGAUACACACAUGGAUAUAUAGGCCUAUAUCACUGAAUUAUGGCAACAACAAUGUACUGGUGGAUCUCUGGUCUUCAUGAAGCCCAAGGAAUUGCCAAGGAGCAGACAAGCCGGGCUUUCUGCCCACCACUCGGCUUAGCUCUGAGAGCUCAGCUCAAGUCUUCAAGUCUCAGGUCCAAUGAUGCUGAAGUAGGAUUAAACAAACCAGCUGUAAUAGCUGCGAUCAGAGAAUCAGCACCACAGACGCGGACAGCGACAGACGCGGAGCUCAGCACCACGUGACAUUGGAAAGCGCCGCUCUCAGGCGCAGACAUUCACCACUUGAACAAUCUGACCGCAGGCGACUACUGAAGGAAAGGUUCAUGUACGAAUUUAGUUUGCUAGACUGAUUCAGCCAGCCAUAUUGACUUCUUCAACCAAACUUUAGAAUUGUAAGUAACAGGGAAUAAAUGACUAUGCGAAAA
Molecule: non-coding RNA, 567 nt
Organism: Salmo salar (Atlantic salmon)
Lineage: Eukaryota; Metazoa; Chordata; Actinopteri; Salmoniformes; Salmonidae
Source: RefSeq, a predicted model, not a curated record